Molecule: long non-coding RNA, 611 nt
Organism: Alligator mississippiensis (American alligator)
Lineage: Eukaryota; Metazoa; Chordata; Crocodylia; Alligatoridae
Exons: 2
Source: RefSeq, a predicted model, not a curated record
GAACCCUGUGGCCUGGGUGCAGACCUGGGAGGAGAGGGGCAUUGUGGGAUAGUGGGAGUGAGGGAACCUCUGUGUCCUGGGUACAAACCUAGUCGGGGAGGGGGAUUGUGGGACAGCGGGGGCUCUAGAAUCCAGGGCAGGCAGGGGCGGGCAAUUAUUUUGGGCAGAGGGCCGUUUACUGAGUUUUGGCAAGCCAUCGAGGCCCAUGCGACAGGCAGCCAGGGGCAGAUAAAUAUUAAUUUUCUAAAUUUUUUAGGGGUCGCGUGGGCCGGAUAGAAUGGUCUGGCGGGCCACACCCAGCCCGCGGGCUGCAUUUUGCCCACCCCUGAGAUUUGCUAGGGUAAGAAAAACAAGCCUGGAUCGUUGGAGAGGGGAGGAGGAGACUUAGAAACAGCCGAAGGUGUCUAAGUUCUGGCCUGAAGUAAAUAGCAGAUGUUUAAACAAAUAUUGAAUAAGUGAUGGUACAAACAGCAGGAAACCCUAGGAGUUCCUAGGGGUGUAUCCUGGUUGGAAGGUGUUAAAAAUCUACAUUUCUUGGAUCUCUGGAAAGCUAAAGACUGGCAUUGCCACUCUGGAAAGGAAGUGAAAGCAUAAAUGAUGUCCUGCCUGAA